CAGCAGCCGCGGUAAUACGAAGGGUGCAAGCGUUAAUCGGAAUUACUGGGCGUAAAGCGUGCGUAGGCGGUGAGUUAAGUCUGCUGUGAAAUCCCCGGGCUCAACCUGGGAAUGGCAGUGGAUACUGGCUCGCUAGAGUGUGUCAGAGGAUGGUGGAAUUCCCGGUGUAGCGGUGAAAUGCGUAGAGAUCGGGAAGAACAUCAGUGGCGGAGGCGGCCAUCUGGGACAACACUGACGCUGAGGCACGAAAGCGUGGGGAGCAAACAGGAUUAGAUACCCCCGUAGUCCCUGUCUCUUAUAC
RNAcentral lists this ribosomal RNA (301 nucleotides) under uncultured bacterium. RNAcentral describes it as "partial 16S ribosomal RNA". It matches the Rfam family "Bacterial small subunit ribosomal RNA", at positions 509 to 807 of the family's 1533-position model. The record is from RNAcentral.